CAAUAGCGUAUAUUAAAGUUGUUGCGGUAAAAAAGCUCGUAGUUGGAUUUCUGUUGAGAGCGACCGGUCCAUACCAUGUAUGCGUAUCUGGCUUGCUCUCGGCAUCCUCUCGAUAGACGUUACUGCGCUUGAUUGCGUGGUGCGGAUCUCGGGACUUUUACUUUGAGGAAAUUAGAGUGUUCACGGCAGGCUUUCGCCAGAAUACAUUAGCAUGGAAUAAUACUAUAGGACCUUGGUUCUAUUUUGUUGGUUUCUAGAAUUGAGAUAAUGAUUAAUAGGGACAAUUGGGGGCAUUCGUAUCAACACGUCAGAGGUGGAAUUCUUGGAUUGUGUUGCGACGAACUACUGCGAAAGCAUUUGCCAAGGAUGUUUUCAUUGA
This 379-nucleotide ribosomal RNA is filed under the name uncultured eukaryote. RNAcentral's name for it is "partial 18S ribosomal RNA". It matches the Rfam family "Eukaryotic small subunit ribosomal RNA", at positions 592 to 976 of the family's 1831-position model. The record is from RNAcentral.